RNAcentral lists this transfer RNA (77 nucleotides) under Planctomycetota bacterium. RNAcentral's name for it is "Planctomycetes bacterium (activated sludge metagenome) tRNA-Met". It matches the Rfam family "tRNA". Rfam says of the family: Transfer RNA (tRNA) molecules are approximately 80 nucleotides in length. Their secondary structure includes four short double-helical elements and three loops (D, anti-codon, and T loops). Further hydrogen bonds mediate the characteristic L-shaped molecular structure. tRNAs have two regions of fundamental functional importance: the anti-codon, which is responsible for specific mRNA codon recognition, and the 3' end, to which the tRNAs corresponding amino acid is attached (by aminoacyl-tRNA synthetases). tRNAs cope with the degeneracy of the genetic code in two manners: having more than one tRNA (with a specific anti-codon) for a particular amino acid; and 'wobble' base-pairing, i.e. permitting non-standard base-pairing at the 3rd anti-codon position. The record is from RNAcentral. Lineage: Bacteria; Pseudomonadati; Planctomycetota.
GGCGGGAUAGCUCAGUCGGUUAGAGCACAGGCUUCAUAAGCCUGGGGUCGUCGGUUCAAGUCCGACUCCCGCUACCA